Molecule: ribosomal RNA, 253 nt
Filed under: uncultured bacterium
Lineage: Bacteria
Description: partial 16S ribosomal RNA
Rfam family: Bacterial small subunit ribosomal RNA
Source: RNAcentral
UACGAAGGGGGCUAGCGUUGCUCGGAAUCACUGGGCGUAAAGCGCACGUAGGCGGCUUUCUAAGUCAGGGGUGAAAUCCUGGAGCUCAACUCCAGAACUGCCUUUGAUACUGGGAAGCUCGAGUCCGGAAGAGGUAAGUGGAACUCCGAGUGUAGAGGUGAAAUUCGUAGAUAUUCGCAAGAACACCAGUGGCGAAGGCGGCUCACUGGCCCGGUACUGACGCUGAGACACGAAAGCGUGGGGAGCAAACAGG